Panthera pardus (leopard) is the source of this 88-nucleotide small nucleolar RNA. Its record names the gene SNORD116. It matches the Rfam family "Small nucleolar RNA SNORD116". From Rfam's summary of the family: HBII-85 is a member of the C/D class of snoRNAs, which contain the C (UGAUGA) and D (CUGA) box motifs. The record is from Ensembl. NCBI's taxonomy places the organism in Eukaryota, Metazoa, Chordata, Mammalia, Carnivora, Felidae.
AGAUUUUUUUUAAGUAUGCCUGGAACAAUGAUUCUCAUUGGAAUCUGAACAAAAUGAGUGAGAAAGUCACUUCUGUGAACUGAAGUCC